RNAcentral lists this long non-coding RNA (1159 nucleotides) under Triticum aestivum (bread wheat). RNAcentral's name for it is "long non-coding RNA (TAES_LNC010617)". Lineage: Eukaryota; Viridiplantae; Streptophyta; Magnoliopsida; Poales; Poaceae. The record is from RNAcentral.
AAAAAAGUAAAUUUAGAACAAAUCUCAAAACAUACUCCAACCUACUGGAUUGGACGUGGACGAGAAAAAUACAAUCAGAAGCACACACCAACUUGGACUCGGACAUGGAAAACAUACACCAACUUGGACUCGGUCGUGGAAGAAGAAAACUAAUCGGGAAGCAUACACGAACUCGGACUGCCAUAGGUUCUAUACUAAUAUAAAUUACCCAGCUCUCAGAGAUUGAACGCCCAGAGAAAAAAGUGCCACCAGCUUAGUACACGCCAAGCAAUCUCCAAGCUACAGCGCCAACCAAAACAAAGGAGCCGUCAAGUAUGUUCCUUUGAUGUAGAUGAUGCCCGUGCCCCUGCAUAUUGUUCAUAAAAUGAUAAAACAGGUGGUUUCUAUCAUCUAGAUUUCUAAUGAACUACCCUAUACAAACUUUGAUGCAGGGAAGCCAUGGAUGUGCAGGAGAAAAGAAGAAAAAGAGAUAGAGAGCGAUAUGAACGGAUGACCAAUGAAGAAAGGCAGGAGAAACUGAAAAAUGCUAAGGAACAAAAAAGAAAGAGAGAUCAAGAGCGGUAUAAAGAGUGGAAAUGAACGCAUGACCGAUGAAGAAAGGCAGGACAAACUCAAAAAACGCCGUGAGGCCUAUCAUCAAAAGAAAGAUUCAGGGAAAACAGCAGAACAGAAGGCAGCACAAUGCGCACAAGAAAAACAAAAAUAUGCAAGCAUGCAGCCAGAACAAAAGAAAGCAAAAGUAGAACAAAAUAAAGCUCGCCGUCAAAUGGAGCGCAACACACCGUCCAAAGAUUCACUUGCAAUGGAGAACCCUGAAUAUGUCGCAACCGAACAAGAGGUUAGUACAUUUGCUGUAAAACACAGGGAUAAUGUGCCAGCAGGAAAAAGGCAAACAUUGCUACACCAUCGUAACGAACAAUUCAUGAGAAGACAGAGGCAAACUGUUUCCGUAUCAUCAAAACAAGAUGCAUCCAUGACGAAAAACACCGACGAAAACAAAGAACCUCUGGAGCAACCACAAGUCAUGACUUACGGUAAUAAAUCACAAUUUUAUAUAAUACUCGCACUCCAAGUAAAUAUAAUCUGUCUGUACAACUAACCAUCUUUUCUGGACAGAAAUCCUCUCCUCAAUGUUUCCAAGCAUCAGAGAAACAAAUGA